UGAGGUAGUUAAGCACAGGUA
RNAcentral lists this microRNA (21 nucleotides) under Haemonchus contortus (barber pole worm). RNAcentral describes it as "hco-miR-84b". Its record names the gene hco-miR-84b. The record is from miRBase by way of RNAcentral. Lineage: Eukaryota; Metazoa; Nematoda; Chromadorea; Rhabditida; Trichostrongylidae.